CCAGUCAACUCCAAUCUGUUGUUCUGGUUACAUAAACAUUGAAAACAGGUGUACAGAAUGUGUUGGGUUCUACGGAAAAGAUUGUUCUAAAGAGUGCCCAUGUGGAUUUUAUGGAGUAUCAUGUAAAGAAGAAUGUAAAUGUAAAGAAACAGAAACGUGCGAUCCGUUUGCAGGAUGUGUUGACAUUAAUGUCAAAUGUACAUGGAAUGCCAGUGAUCCCAGAAACAGACUGGAAAGCCGUAUUACGAGUAAAUGUCCAAGUAAGUGUAUUGGUUUGAAUAUACGAAAUAGUACUG
This is a long non-coding RNA of Saccostrea cuccullata (small rock oyster), 296 nucleotides long. RefSeq lists it as uncharacterized. The transcript is spliced from 3 exons. The record is from RefSeq and is a predicted model, not a curated record. Lineage: Eukaryota; Metazoa; Mollusca; Bivalvia; Ostreida; Ostreidae.